CCUACGGGUGGCUGCAGUGGGGAAUAUUGGACAAUGGGCGAAAGCCUGAUCCAGCAAUGCCGCGUGAGUGAUGAAGGCCUUCGGGUCGUAAAGCUCUUUUACCAGGGAUGAUAAUGACAGUACCUGGAGAAUAAGCUCCGGCUAACUCCGUGCCAGCAGCCGCGGUAAUACGGAGGGAGCUAGCGUUGUUCGGAAUUACUGGGCGUAAAGAGUACGUAGGCGGCUAUUCAAGUCAGAGGUGAAAGCCCGGGGCUCAACCCCGGAACUGCCUUUGAAACUAGGUAGCUAGAAUCUUGGAGAGGUCAGUGGAAUUCCGAGUGUAGAGGUGAAAUUCGUAGAUAUUCGGAAGAACACCAGUGGCGAAGGCGACUGACUGGACAAGUAUUGACGCUGAGGUACGAAAGCGUGGGGAGCAAACAGGAUUAGAUACCCCGGUAGUC
This 440-nucleotide ribosomal RNA is filed under the name uncultured Novosphingobium sp. Its description in RNAcentral is "bacterial SSU rRNA". It matches the Rfam family "Bacterial small subunit ribosomal RNA", at positions 338 to 795 of the family's 1533-position model. Lineage: Bacteria; Pseudomonadati; Pseudomonadota; Alphaproteobacteria; Sphingomonadales; Sphingomonadaceae. The record is from RNAcentral.